CGCGGCCUAUCAGCUUGUUGGUGGGGUGAUGGCCUACCAAGGCAACGACGGGUAGCCGGCCUGAGAGGGUGACCGGCCACACUGGGACUGAGACACGGCCCAGACUCCUACGGGAGGCAGCAGUGGGGAAUAUUGGACAAUGGGCGAAAGCCUGAUCCAGCAACGCCGCGUGAGGGAUGACGGCCUUCGGGUUGUAAACCUCUUUCAGCGCCGACGAAGCGCAAGUGGCGGUAGGCGCAGAAGAAGCACCGGCCAACUACGUGCCAGCAGCCGCUGUAAUACGUAGGGUGCGAGCGUUGUCCGGAAUUAUUGGGCGUAAAGUGCUCGUAGGCGGUUUGUCGCGUCGGGAGUGAAAUCACGGGGCUUAACCCCGUGCCUGCUUCCGAUACGGGCAGACUAGAGGUAUGCAGGGGAGAACGGAAUUCCUGGUGUAGCGGUGAAAUGCGCAGAUAUCAGGAGGAACACCGGUGGCGAAGGCGGUUCUCUGGGCAUUACCUGACGCUGAGGAGCGAAAGUGUGGGGAGCGAACAGGAUUAGAUACCCUGGUAGUCCACACCGUAAACGUUGGGCGCUAGGUGUGGGACUCAUUCCACGAGUUCCGUGCCGCAGCUAACGCAUUAAGCGCCCCGCCUGGGGAGUACGG
This 643-nucleotide ribosomal RNA is filed under the name Nocardioides mesophilus. RNAcentral's name for it is "bacterial SSU rRNA". It matches the Rfam family "Bacterial small subunit ribosomal RNA", at positions 232 to 885 of the family's 1533-position model. Lineage: Bacteria; Bacillati; Actinomycetota; Actinomycetes; Propionibacteriales; Nocardioidaceae. The record is from RNAcentral.